AUUGAACGCUGGCGGUAGGCCUAACACAUGCAAGUCGAGCGAGCGGCGGACGGGUGAGUAAUGCCUGGGAAUUGCACCGUCGAGGGGGAUAACAGUUGGAAACGACUGCUAAUACCUCAUACGCUUGGCUUGCUCAGGGGGGAUUAGCUAGUUGGUGAGGUAAUGGCUCACCAAGGCGACGAUCCCUAGCUGGCCUGAGAGGAUGAUCGGCCACACUGGAACUGAGACACGGUCCAGACUCCUACGGGAGGCAGCAGUGGGGAAUAUUGCACAAUGGGGGAAACUCCGACGCAGCCAUGCCGCGUGUGUGAAGAAGGCCUUCGGGUUGUAAAGCACUUUCAGCGAGGAGGCGGUACUCGCAGAGGAAGCACCGGCUAACUCCGUGCCAGCAGCCGCGGUAAUUC
RNAcentral lists this ribosomal RNA (404 nucleotides) under uncultured bacterium. RNAcentral's name for it is "partial 16S ribosomal RNA". It matches the Rfam family "Bacterial small subunit ribosomal RNA", at positions 30 to 526 of the family's 1533-position model. The record is from RNAcentral.